This is a non-coding RNA of Nasonia vitripennis (jewel wasp), 47 nucleotides long. NCBI's taxonomy places the organism in Eukaryota, Metazoa, Arthropoda, Insecta, Hymenoptera, Pteromalidae. The record is from Rfam.
CAAUAGGCCCUUUUUAGGGCCACCAUAUUUUUUAAACGUAGAACAUU